ACUAUUUUGGCAGAAAAGUGUGAUGGAUUUAGAAUCUAUAUAUGUGGAUUAUUAUACCCAUAAAUAGUA
RNAcentral lists this transfer RNA (69 nucleotides) under Phyllodromica sp. Phil. Its description in RNAcentral is "tRNA-Leu". It matches the Rfam family "tRNA". From Rfam's summary of the family: Transfer RNA (tRNA) molecules are approximately 80 nucleotides in length. Their secondary structure includes four short double-helical elements and three loops (D, anti-codon, and T loops). Further hydrogen bonds mediate the characteristic L-shaped molecular structure. tRNAs have two regions of fundamental functional importance: the anti-codon, which is responsible for specific mRNA codon recognition, and the 3' end, to which the tRNAs corresponding amino acid is attached (by aminoacyl-tRNA synthetases). tRNAs cope with the degeneracy of the genetic code in two manners: having more than one tRNA (with a specific anti-codon) for a particular amino acid; and 'wobble' base-pairing, i.e. permitting non-standard base-pairing at the 3rd anti-codon position. Lineage: Eukaryota; Metazoa; Arthropoda; Insecta; Blattodea; Ectobiidae. The record is from RNAcentral.